RNAcentral lists this ribosomal RNA (497 nucleotides) under uncultured bacterium. RNAcentral describes it as "partial 16S ribosomal RNA". It matches the Rfam family "Bacterial small subunit ribosomal RNA", at positions 29 to 507 of the family's 1533-position model. The record is from RNAcentral.
AGUGAACGCUGGCGGUGGGCCUAACACAUGCAAGUCGACCGCAGCAAAGGUAAGCUUUGUCCUUUGCGGUUGGCGGGGGACGGCGGGGUAAGAAUUAAAUGGAAUUCUUUUUUUUCUGGGGGAAAACCGUGGGAAACCUACCACUACACCCCAAUACAUCCAACGGGGAAAAUCAGGGGUUCUUGGACCUUUUGCGGUUGCAUGUAGCCGUUUCGGUGUCGCAUUAUCUAGUGGGUAAGGUAACGGCCAGCCAAGGCGACGAUCCGUAGCUGGUCUGAGAGGAUGAUCAGCCACACUGGAACUGAGACACGGUCCAGACUCCUACGGGAGGCAGCAGUGGGGAAUAUUGGACAAUGGGCGCAAGCCUGAUCCAGCCAUACCGCGUGGGUGAAGAAGGCCUUCGGGUUGUAAAGCCCUUUUGUUGGGAAAGAAAAGCAGCAGGUUAAUACCCCGCUGUUCUGACGGUACCCAAAGAAUAAGCACCGGCUAACUUCGUG